AACGAACGCUGGCGGCGUGCCUAACACAUGCAAGUCGAACGAGACCUUCGGGUCUAGUGGCGCACGGGUGCGUAACGCGUGGGAACCUGCCUUUAGGUUCGGAAUAACUCAGAGAAAUUUGAGCUAAUACCGGAUGAUGUCUUCGGACCAAAGAUUUAUCGCCUUUAGAUGGGCCCGCGUUGGAUUAGCUAGUUGGUGGGGUAAAGGCCUACCAAGGCGACGAUCCAUAGCUGGUCUGAGAGGAUGAUCAGCCACACUGGGACUGAGACACGGCCCAGACUCCUACGGGAGGCAGCAGUGGGGAAUAUUGGACAAUGGGCGAAAGCCUGAUCCAGCAAUGCCGCGUGAGUGAUGAAGGCCUUAGGGUUGUAAAGCUCUUUUACCCGAGAUGAUAAUGACAGUAUCGGGAGAAUAAGCUCCGGCUAACUCGGUG
RNAcentral lists this ribosomal RNA (433 nucleotides) under uncultured bacterium. RNAcentral's name for it is "partial 16S ribosomal RNA". It matches the Rfam family "Bacterial small subunit ribosomal RNA", at positions 29 to 507 of the family's 1533-position model. The record is from RNAcentral.